GGUGAAACACACUGUAUAUGCCCGGACGGCACAAGAUGUUGCAAAUGUGUUGCAUCAAUGUCACCUCAACGUUGAAGUGUUGCAGCGAUGUUUCAUGCCGAAAUGCGUCGUUGUAGCUAUAUACGUGUUUCAAUGUUCAUGCUAUGUCUCAAAGAUGGCGUAAAGCUAACAUUGCGAUGGUGUUACUGAAGCAAUGUUGAAUAUGUUACACUCAGGUAACGUGGCGUUUGCAUUGAUGCAAUGGUUUGCAAGCAAUGUCAAUGCUAUGUUGCAAUUGCAUUGCUUCCAAAACGCUUAAUCAGCAACGUAAAUUCAAUUUGCGCAAUAUCUUUAUUUCAAUGUUUUUGCCGUAUUUCAAAAGAUGGGUACAGCUAACAGUGUGAUUCUCUUGCGAGAACAAUGUUGCACAUAGUACAUUGAGGAAACGUCGCAGUUACAUUGUGUAAUAGAAAUGUUACCCCUAGGCAACGUCUGACACAUUGCAGCAAGAUCGAAACAAACAUAUUGCUGUGAUGUUGCACGUUUUGCAUGCAACAUUGCCGAGGCAUUCGCUCCGGGUGCUCCAGUAAGACAAUGUUUGCACGAUCUUGGUCUAUCUGUAAUUCCCACCAAUAAACAAUGAAUGAUAUCUGUGGAACUUCCCGUGAUGUUCACCAGUCACUUAUCAGUUUGUUUUUGACUACGUGUUCAAAUGUUGCGGCAACGUUUAUGCACAACUGGAAUGAUACCACAAUGCCUUUAGUUCAAUGUUGGCCUCUAGUCCCGAGUGGCUCGAGACUAACAUAUCCAUUUUUUCUUUUAUAAAUCAAUCAAUCAAUCAAUGUUGGUGCAGCAGUUUGAGAUUAUGCAUUUUAGAAACAUCAGGAUUAUGUUGCUCAGGCAUUGGUUCACGUGCUGCAGUGGGGGAACAUUACAGUUAGCGUGACCAUUAGGAAGAUGAUUAAUUGAGACUGUGAGAAACAUAUUCUGGGACAACACUGCGGACACACUAUGGGAGAUGACUGUGAACAAAAGGAUCGAGACGACGAUAACAUAAUCUCAAAGAAAAUUAAUCUGACCGAGAAAUUAAUUACAAUCCAUUCUCACGCAUAUGUGAAUGCGCGCUGACUCUCGAUAUGGUGUUCUUCCAUAGCGUCAGUGCGAACACAGCCCUUGAGCCCUCGCGUGGCAUAGUGGUUAGAAUGAUAGCCUACCGUGUAAAGAGUGGGAGGUAACAGGGGUUCGAAUCCUGACUGCGCUGUCUGCGGUUUUCCCAGGGCUUCCCGGUAGGCUUUCCACACGAAUGUCGGCACCGUUCCCCUGAAGUCUGCCCAGUAGCAGGACGAUUACUGUAUAGUAUGUAAGCAUACUGUGCUCACUUGCACAUAUAUCACCAAGACUAUAGUGCUACUUCGGCGUUGCUUUUGUAACGUUGCUACACUGUAAAAUAACCGGUCAUUGACAAUGUUGCGUCAACACUGCAGUAUCACAUUUUUUUGCAAUGUUGUUUCUGUAAUAUUGUUGCAAAAUAACGAAGGCAGUCUUUAGCAAUGACACAUCAGCAUUGCAAUGCCACAUUUUUUCAAUGUUGUUUCAUUAACAUCGUUGCAGUAUAACGAGAGCGGUCAUUAGCGACAUAACAUCAAUAUUGGUUCACUGCAACAAUUUGUGCUGACUGGGUGGGUAUGUCUUCUCCCGAAAUCUGUUUUUUUUAUUAAAUAAAGAUAUCGAAUUCUGCUUCAAAACACUUUUCAGUAGAAGAGUUUUUUCCUUGGCUUUUUAAACUCUUUUUGAAGAAAGGAUUCGAAAGAUUCGAGAUUCGUAAGAUUCGUGCAUUCGCAGAACCUUCCUUGGAUUCGGAUUCGGAUUCCAGAAAUUCUGGAUUCGUCUCAUCUCUAGUUUAACAGUUUGCUUAGGAAACAUGUGUGAGUUUAAGUACAUCGUAGGCGACGAGAGUCUUCAUGCAUCGUGACUCUGAGGCCUUGUGCUCCUGCCCAAGCCAAUUAGGGACGUAUUUAGGCUUAUCCUAGAUGUCAUCAGGGCGUGUGCUUGACGGCUGCGUAUUAUCGGUGCAAGAGAUAACUAUAUCUAGGCGUCCAAACCCGUAAAGUCGCUUCUCAGGUGAAUUCACCUCCACAAUUUGCGAAGGCGCUGUUUAUUACCUCAGUAUAUGUUUUCAAGCACAUGCAAAGCUCUCACACGUGGCGAUUAAUGUGUUCAACAUGUUUUUAUGAAUGUGAGCGUCGAAUAUGUACUCGUUAUUUAACGAGCAAUAUAAAUAUAUACGUAUUGCAUACAGGAGCAGUAAAUACGAGCAAAUGCAUACGGCUUUUUGAGUGUAUACGAAUAAUAUUUGAAAAUAUUUGUAUAGGUGCGGUUAACAGUAACGAGCCUUACCCGAAAGUUUCAAAUUAAUUAAAUAGUAAUAAUAAUAAUGUAUUGCACAUAAUGACGUUGUUAGUUAUACGUUCAGUGGCACUGGAUAACUAAAAAACACAUUAAAUUGCGAUGCUGAUAUUCCAAAUCAUUUUAAACUGUAAAAGUCCCGUUAUCCCUAAUUGUGUAUUACUUCGUGAAUAUUUGAUUUUUUUUCUUUUACAUCACACGCUUUUGAGGAUAUGUAUGAGUAAACGCAAGUACAGUCAAACUCCUUUAGAACGAAGCUCAGGGGACCGCGAAAAAAUUUCGUAGUAAAGGUCACUUCGUUAAAGGGGAUGUCCGCCAUCUUGUUUGUUUACAUUUCCGCUUUGCUUCCGUGCACGACAGGCUCGGAGCCACCCCUGCGUUCCUUUGAAUUUCUCUUGGACACCACACAUGGCUGCAAACUCCCUUGCUUUCGCGCACAACAUGGGGUCCGAUAUGGGUAUGUCCUGAGAUCUCACCUCUAACAGCCAUCAGUAAACGCACUUGUCCACUUCUUCGAAGUUAGCCGCACGUAUCCUUUUUCGCGCUGAGGAUCCUUCGUUGUUCUCGUGCUGCUUCUGUAUCUUCUCUCGGUCCUUCAAAAAAGUCGAAAGUGUAGAAGCACUAAUCCCAAAUUCUUUGGCAACGUCCAAUUUCUUCUGCCCGCUAUCAACGGCUCUCAGCACCGCGAUGUUCUCCUCGACUGUAAACUGCUUCCCCUUCGAGGAUGCUCUUGCGGAGGUAGCAUCGCCGCCCUUCGCUGACGUGUCUGCCAUAGCACAACUGGCCGCCACAACGGACUCUUCGUGAACGCUGGUGUCCUGGUGUGCACUGGACGCUGUGAACUCAAGUCAGAAAGGAGGUCGAUCGGGCUUUGAACUCCAAGGCGACCAGGAAUUGCACAGGGAGGCUUUGUGACAGAUCAUCUGAUGAUGUCACCCCUUUCCCCGGACAAAGCUUGGAAACGUAGAUCAUAAAGGAGCUGGACGCUCUGAACUCAGGUCAGAAAGGAGGUCGAUCGGGCUUCGCACUCCAAGGUGACCGGUAAUUGCCCGGGAGGCUUUGUGACGGAUUAUCUGAUGAUGUCACCCCUUUCUCAUGACAAAACUUGGAAACGUAGAUCAUAAAGGAGGGGGUCCGCACCGGGAGAAAAACUUGGUAUGUAUGUAUAAUCCUCGUAAAACCCGCCGAACUCCUCUGAGGAGCUUCGUUGUAUGUGUUGGAAAUUCCGCUGAAGGGGCCGCACUUUUGUUCGUUAUUAAGGUAUUUUCGUUGUAAAGAAAUUCGUACUAAAUGUUUGAAAAAUACAUUAGUCCUAUGGGGCUUUGGCAGGACCGCGAAAAAAAUUCGUUCUACUAGUACUUUCGUUAAAAAGGCGUUCGCUCUAAAGGAGUUUGACUGUAUAGGUUAACUUCAGAGACCUUCUUAAGCAAACCGAAGCAACUACCGAUUCACUAACCACAAGCACUUCUCUGAGACUGGAAAGGAUACGGCGUCUCACGUCACGUGUACGAGUUCAGCCAUUAGUCAGCCAAUAGUGGCAAAGGCUGGCGGGACUCUGAAGCUUGUUUUUCUAGUGCUCUAGUGCUCCAGAGUGAUAACCCAUUUGUACAGUCUGUAGAAUUCUUAAAGGAAUAGUUCGCCCCCUUAAGGGGAAAAAAUAGCAGAAGAAACGCUUACUAGGUGUGAUCAAUAGACAAUGAACAGCACCCCCUGAAUCCCUUUCGUUCGAAAUAGAUGUAUUUUACGGGUUUUCAGUAUUUUCCUAGGCAUAUUACAGGAGGCUGGAUCGGCUUGCGGGACGUUUCGUGACGUUCUUAGGGUUAGCGAUAGGAAGCCGCAUCUGGAUGCCAGGGACACAGGAACAUCCUCUUGUCGUCACACAGUUCUUAAACAGAGGUCGCGCGCACGUCUUUCUCCGCGGACAAGCCUACUUGCGUGCAUCCCGUUGCUUUGAGAUCCUUACUGCUCGGGCCGGAAACUAGUGCACGGGUCUGAAAAAUUCGAAGUACACUACCAUGUGCAGCAGAAAUCAACUUGGAGGCUAUCCAAGGUGUUAUGGUGCUGGGAAGUAUCCGUUUAAGUGAUAUCGGUACCAGUGACAUGGGAAAACCUGGGAACAUCUGCAUCUGGUUGUCAGGCGGUGUCACUUCCCGACAGUUUUGCUGUCCGUGCUGCUUACUGUCAGAGUGAUUAGCGAACCAUGGGACGCCUUACAUAAUUGAUUGUGGAUUGCGCACCGAUCGGGCUAUCCCAGCAGACAUGCUGCUCAUCUUGUCUACGCGGAGAAGUAUCCUAUAGCUAUUACCAGAACCGUCGUGAGGCGAGUUUGCGCCCUGGGCAGGGGAAACGUCAAGCGCCCCCCCCCCCUCCCGCGCUCUCUUCACUGCCGUCAGAAUCUCUAUACAAAAAAUAAAAAAUAAAAAUGCUCGUUCGCAGUGCCUAGGUAGUGAAUUCACAUUCCCGUCAUUCCCGCUGCAUACUGUACAAACAACAUGCCAGGGCCUGCCAUUCCGUGCCCCCUGUGGUGAGCGCGCUCGGUGCAGGUGCCCCGCCCCACCCCCCCUAGCUACGGUCUGCUAGUAGUCUCUUCUAAUUCCUUUCAGCAGACGGGCAGGCGCUUCGUUCACUAGUUGUAGCAGUUGUGCAUGCUGAUGGUGUCGGGCGUGCACGCCAGGAGUGUGGGUUUGAGUCCGUAACACCAUGACAUAUAAAGGGACAGUCCUGUUUGUUCAAGUUUUGUUCUUCUUAAGAGAAGCCGUGGUGCUGCGUGGAAAGAAUGAAUAUAUACGCAUACUCAAACAGUUGCGUAUACGACACGUAGGGCGUGUUUGCGUGGGACACGUACAAUUAGCUCUUCUUCGACAUAAGGCCGAAAGCAAUACUCCUAUUAUUUUUUACUUUUUUACUGGGUUCUAAAUAAUUCAGAAAAAUAUUUCACACAAUGUGGCUGUGAUCUAUCCCGCUAUUUCUGUAGACAAGGUGACGAGCGAAAUGGCAUAUUUCGUGGACGAGUGUUCCAAUGAACCUCUGCGUCCACAACUUGUUUGUUGUGGUUCUUGUCUUUUGUGGCCUUUGGUGUCUUUGAGGAUCUGUUCUUCAUCACAAGCGACGUUUACAUGGAUGCUACGAAAGCACUUCCGCUUCUCGUAUCGAAUCACAGUAGCUUCAGUCGCUUUUGCGUCAGAAAAACCCAGUCAACAGCAGCAGCAUCGAUUUCCCCCAGAGCACACCAACCAUUCUGAUGGGGAAGAUUUGUGGGAGGCGGCGCAAAACGGGGAGCACUAUACCCUAUUUAAAAAAAUGAAUGAAAAAACAGACCACGAGGCGAGUUUCUGGCGGUUCAUCAGAGCCUGUAAUUUGCGACCGAUCAGAUCAUCAGGCCUGAUGGCUUGAUGGGACCACGAGAUCAUGUGAGUGGUCUCGUGUUUCCUAAAGACAGGCUGGUUUCUAACAAACUGAUAUAACAUAUAUCUAUUUAAAGCACAUAUCAAUAUGUACAGCUAGGCUUUGGGUAGCUCGAAACAACAACAACUUUAUUAGAGACACUUGACUAGCUUGAGUAGCUCGAAGAAGCUGGAACAAACAUCAUCUUUUGAAAUAAUUGCUGUCCAACUAGCACAUUUCGCUCUUUUCCUGAGCUUCUCGGCAUCACGUAUCCUUCUCUAUUGGAAAUUCCGAUAUCAUUUUUUCCUUUAUAACGUCAUAUCGUAUUCUUGGUCCCGGUAUGAGGUACAUACAUAUCUGCCAUAUCUGCAUAACUGCUGUAUCGGCAUACAUGCCAUAUCGGAAUACCAGCCAUAUUGGUUUAGGUGUGGAAUAUGGGACACCUGUAACCACGGAACCACAGCACACUAGCUAUCGGGUAUGCGUGUCAAACACAUUCACAGUUUUGACACAUCUGUGCUUGUCAAAAUGAGCAGACAUAGCAAAAACAUUAUUUUACUUGCUUUUAUUUUUUCCUGUUUAUGUGGGACAAAAGGCUUCUGACAUAGAAUGUCAUCUGCUUGUAGCGCUCCUCCUUUUCGUGGGAUCCUGUUCGCUUUAAAUACUCCCAGAACGCAUCUGAAAUAAAUGAUAUAAUCUAUCAAUUCUUAUAUCCUGUACACAAGAUAAAGUAGAGGAAUCAAGGUGACAAGCCCAGAUCUUCUGUAACUGUAUAGAUAAUAAUUUGGGGUUUUACUGUAAUAGGAGAAAGAACAGACAAUAACAACUCUGUCAUACAUAAUAACAUAACUUAACAAUAAUCUUCAAAUGCAGUCAUAAUAGUAAUAAUACGUUUAUAGCCUUCUAGUAGCAAAUGGGCAAGAAAACCCGAAAUCAAAUCAGUAAUAAUACAUAAUAUAAGAAUAACAACUGCUUGUGCAGUUGCGUCUCAUAUUUCUAGUUUUCUCACUCAAUCGUUGGUGGGCUAUUCAUUCAUAACUGUGUCAGUUAGAUAGUAAAUAAAACGUACAAGAUGUUGAAGCUCUAUUUGAUAGGACAUGAGGAGUAGUACGGCCCUGUUGACCAACAUGACAAAAGCAGAGGCAGUCACAUCUCUUCCUUGUGGAGCAACUGCCUUCGCUCUUGAGGCACGAAGUAGUUAACGCUUUGUAUCAAAAUGACAUGAUGUACAGCAUAGUGUAAAAGAACAUAACAGAGGCUGCCUCUGUGGAACUUACUUCGUAGCGCAUCCAUCUUCUUAGGUGUGAGACGUUUCUUGGCAACUGCCCCACUCUUCGCUUAUCGGCGACACGCCUCCCCCGUCACACUGCGUUCGGAAAGUUCCUCCUCAGUCCACAGGAGCCUCGCACCCUCCCGGCAGAAGAGCGAAUCCUUGGCAGCUCCCAGUGCCCACUCGAGCCUUUCCUUGUUGACCUUUAUAUCGCCUUCAAGGGCAACCUAUCACAGAGAACAAAGCACAGAGUUAAACCUGGAGCCACAGAUAAGGUACAUAUACAAAACAAAUAUCCAGCUUGCUCUCUGUAAACAAACAAUAGUGAACUGCAAAUCCACCUCAUUCUCAAUGAACAGUGAUACAACUGUUUUCUUUUGCAAGGAGUAACAGUGCUACGCAUGGCAGAAACUCUAUAAAGGUCGACACGGCAUUCUGACAUUUUUUCAAGAAAAAAAAUUGCGUUAUGAUCAUACCUGCCAAUAUGACAAAGUCAAAACUCGGGAGAUCACCCGCAGAGUGACGCGGGGGUGGGGACGCGCAUUAAGUUCGUGCAUUCGGAAUAGCAUUGCCACAGUCUGUAUUGUGAUUCCUCUAAGUCGUAUGUAGCCAGUUUCAGGUUAAGCUGCGUUGCACUAUCGUUGCUUUCGUCAACCACAAUUGACGCGUCGUCUCAGGCUCUGCAACAUUGCAUUUUGCGCGGCCGGAGCCGUUUCACCGAUGAUACCACUGGUCUUCGACGGUUGGCACCUGUAGCAUUUCGCUUCGUGACAUUUUGAGAACAUCUUUGGAACAGCGGUCACACGUGGUCGGUUACGCUCUGCGGCUGGUUGUGCUCAAACUUCAACUCAGAAAACCUGUGCAAAGGCACUCGGCAUGUAUGAGGAACACGUGCAGGUAUUUCGUCUGUUUGGUGAGCGCACUGUAAGACAUUAUCAGACUUCGUAACCAGACGGCCUAUCAGCCCAACAUGGGAAAUAACAUUCAUGCCAUAAUCACGCGCAUCCUGUAGGUUGCAGUGAUAUCUGGUGUGUUGCACGAGCUAUCCCCGCGAGUGCCACACCCCUUACGCUUGUAUCUCCGAGCAUAUCGCUUUGAUAGUUCCGAUAGCGUGGGAAGAUCGUACUUUGACGAUAUCUUCCUAGUAAAUUUUGCUUCUACUCUAUUAAGUGCCGGCUUUUAGCUGGUUGGGAUGAGCAAACCAUGCUUUUGAGGUGUUGUUCCUCCAAGCACCCAGACGGCCUAUCAGACUGACAUGAAAAUCACGGAUGAUUUCAUCAUCAGGUUGCUUUCUUAGCAUAUCUCAACUAAAGCCCCGCUUUGCCAAACUGGCGUUAGAACCGCAUUACACUGGCCAGCGGAAACAGUCUCUGAGAACUGGCUUUCAGCUGGCGUGGACGAGCAAAACCGUAUUUCUAAUGUGUUGUCGUUCCCAGAGUAUUUGAUCCCUUUGUAUUCCCCCAGAGGGCGAUCGCAGCAGUUAGGGACCCAGAAGGGCCCUCACAGCCUCAACUAUGCCAGGAUCCGACCGGACCUGCUUCCAGUUGCCACAGUAUGCGUCUCCGCACGCAGCGCACGUAGCAGUCACUAUUUCGGUCUCCAGAACCUGGUGCUCGCGUUGUAGUGUUUUUGGCGGUCUUCCACUUGUAAUGUGGGGAGUACCUUUCCAGGCGCUCGCAGUGUGGAGUUACCCUCUUACUGCUUUACCUUCUUAUUGUUUUAAUUCCAGCAUGCAAAGACAGAGACAGCGCUCCCAUGUUUGCGUCGCACUUCCCGUCGAGGAUCUCUGCCCCGCCCUACAUUUGAUCAAGCACGAUCUCGGUCCCCAGGUCCGAGAAAGAAGCCCGUGGCGACGUGGACCGUGGUCCACCUUGGCUACCCCUUAUCGUGGGCUUCUCAUAAGUGGUCAUCCCAGCCCCGCCCCCUCCGGAAUGCCGACCCCACUACCACUCCGUUGCCGUUCCGCGGUUUGACCCUGCGAGAGAGACACCCCGCCGACCCUCUUCAACCCCUCUCUGCAGACGAACAACGACUCCUGUGUCCGGUCUGCCAAGUUCCGGAACUGCACAGAGCCACCCAUCGUCGAGGCGAGCUCCGUCGAUCCCGUAUCGAACAAGCACGACCGGAGGCCGUGGAUGUCGUCGCCGCCCUGGCCACCUUACGUCGGCAUCGCCCAGAGAUACUCCGGGAAACUGAGAGAGAGCUGGCGGCCCCCAACCCAGCCGAGGACGAUAUCCUCAUCGAGGGACCACAAUGAAGACCUGUAAAUCUUUGCCCGUAUUGUACAGUUUUGGGAGAGGGGAAGUGUGGGAUUUGUUUUGUGCUGUCGUCGACAGGUGUCGCGAUAGACAGAUGGCGCGUGUCGCUUGCGCAUAGAUUAGGGGGCGGAUACCCAAGGAACUUAUUAUUUAAGCUGUGUUGGCGAACCUGAGAGGGUGGCUCGCUCUUCUUGGGGGAAAGCCUUGGCUUGUGCCGUCUGAAGGUAUGAAAUAAACCCUUUGUUAAUUGUUCGAACUUGUGUCUGCGUUCCUUGCGCGAGUCGGAUGAACGGGCGUGGUCCCGGUGGUGGGUUAACCGGAAGGUUUCCCACAAUGCAUAGUGCACAUGUGAUACGUCUUCCUUGUUAUGUAUAUACCUUCCAAUGAUAGCUAAUUUAAUCUUGCUGUAGCUGCAUAUGCAUAAUGCACAUGUGAUACGUCUUCCUUGUUAUGUAUAUACCUUCCAAUGAUAACUAAUUUAAUCUUGCUGUAACUGUAUAUGCAUAGUACAUAUGUGAUGCGUCUUCCUUGUUCUGUAUAUACCUUCCAAUGAUAACUAAUUUUCAUUUUCAAAGAACGUUCCCUUGUGUUCUUUCGUUGCAUUCUUCAUCCCACAGAGAUGCUAUGAAUACACGACAUUUACACAUAUCUGCAUAUACAGACGUAAUUCAAUCAUGUUGUACGAACCUGUAAAACAAAACGUCUUGUGGCUCUUUGGUAUUAUUUAAUUCCGGUAUGGUUGCACGUGAAAUAUAACUCUAUCCUAGUGCACAUCUAUCACAAUCCCGACAAAAGGAAUUGUCCUCGCUCGUCUUCCCCAUGCUUGUCGCGCACAAAAUGGCUGAUAAUCUGCAGAAACGAGGGCGACCGAGCUCUCAUGUAACAGCGGCAAUACAAACGUGGAUUAGUCACCUCAAUGACUGCGAAUUGUUUGUGGGAAGCACGCACUGCAUCCAUCGAUGUGCACUUCGCAGUAAUAACUUUCAUCCUCGACGAUGUGAAACAACACCAUUGUGCCCCUGGUGCCUUGUGCCAUGUUUAUGUCACACAAAAACCGUACUCCUGCGACCACUGACCAAAACAUCCAAGCCGAACCGCCACGCCAAGCUACCAUGUUGUCAAACACGGAGUCUCCUGCACGGCGGCUUCUCCACAUAAUGAAAGAAAAGAAAAGCAUCUCGAUUUGCACCAUCACGAAUUGUGGGCGAAAAACUUUCACGAAAGUCGUUCCUUGAUAUACGACAGUCAUGUUUGUUAAUCAAAAUAUUUUUUUCUCGUGCACUGGGCACACCAGUACAUCUGAAAUAGCGCAUUAAGGAAGCGUCAAUUCAGAGGAGCAAGUACCUGACGGAACGCGAGCGCUGCGGCGCGGUCACAAAAGACUCGAGGAAUUGGGACCACGCUUUCUCAACGGCGGCGCGGCAGAGAUCGUUCUCCUUACUUCUCCUCCGUGGACCACAUCCACAAUCGCCAUAACAAGCAUGCAUAAAAACAGCGGCUGCUUCAUGGUCGUCGCGCCAUCUGUGGACGUUGUUGCCUACUCGAAUGCUGGACGUGGUGGCGGAGGCGCGGAGGCGCGGAGGCGCCGGGGAGGGGGCGUACUGUCGUACUGUUGAGGGAAUCAGGAGUCAGUGGAACAAGUUCGUAAAGAGGUCCGUAAGGUGAGGAAGAGACCCAUGGAGGCGCGGGGGCGCGGGUGUUUCGUUCGUACCGAGAGAGUUCGAAGGAAUCGAGAGUCGGUGAACUGACGAACUGAGCAGCUGAAUGCUGAAUCGCCGGGAGGGAGAACGAGCUGGAGGCCAGGAGUGAGAAAGGGGUAUCGAAGCUGCAGUGGGCGGUGUAGUAGUGUGUAGUUGCUGCGCUGUUCGGUUCAGAGAGGCUCGACAACGCCGUUUGUUGUUUGCAGUCGUGGCUCUCGCUCUGCUGCUGUCAUAUCGCCGUUUGACGGAGGGCACCUUGUCGUGCCGCCGUGGCUAGUUGACCUCAAAGGCUCACACUAAUGGGUUUUUGGAUGACUUCCAAUACAGGACCACUGUGUGUGUUUCUUUUUUUAGUGUGUGUGUGUGUGUGGCGCAGCUUCCUGUGCUUGUUCAUCCCGUCCUCUCCUUGUUGAAUACAGGUGGACGGGACUUCGUUCACUCCAGAGGGUGUGCUGUCUAAUGCUCGUCAGCGUGUACAGCUGCGGUUUGCCCGUGUCUUGUCGUGUUGAUCAGCGCAAUAUGCAUCACUCUGCUCUGCGUGUUGAUUGAUUUGUAAAAGGAAAUAAAUGGAGAUGUUAGUCUCGAGCCACUCGGGACUGGCUACUCCAGGACGCGUUAUUCGGAAAAUAAAGUUUUUAUUUGAUACCGGAAUGGAAAAGAAACGUGCCUAGAACUUCGAAAACAUAAAAACGACCAGUCUACGUCGCGUUCAAACACAAAGCACAAGCUUUUUACAUUGUUGCACGAGUGUUCUUCGGCAAAAUAGGUAAAACCACUUCCGCACAUAAAGGUGAUACGCGUAUGAUCCUACUGCAUGUUUACAUUAAGAAACAGCACUUUGGACACCUUGCUGUGUGCUAUCCGGUUCCGUCUUUCUGUAACAAUUUGUCCGGCCUUAGAAAAGAUACUCUCACAUGGCACAGACGUUGCCACAACGCACAAUUUGCUUUUCGUCAUCUUAAAAAGGCGUGGGCAGACGUGCUGCCUUACCCUCCACCAAGUGAGGGGAUUCUGUUUCCUCUCAAGUGGUGGCUCCUGCAGAUACUUGUCGAACUCGAGUAUACCAGCCGCUGUAGGGUUCGCGCAGGUCAGUACGAGUGACAUGGAUGUGUCGAAUUCGUACCAUAGCGGAUCUUCUGGAUCUUGCGCCCGGGACUGGUCCGCAGGUGCAUCGCUGUAGUCCUGGGGGACUUCCACUGCUGUUGCCUGCGCCGACAGCGAGCGGUAGGCAAUCUCGAAUGCGGUCUCUCGCUGGAAUCCGCGUCUCUUAAAGCGGGGAUCCAUAGCGGUUGCUUCUGCUAGACGCUUUGUUACCUCUACAUCUCCAAAUCGCUUUGCCAGUUGCUCCGAAAGCACUUUCAGCACUUUUUUUUUUUUUGCAGUCUUCCGGCAGGCUGGGGUCUUUCUUGGCGUUAUCCAGGUGGGUAAUGAGUGCUCUGGCAAGCAGUAUUAUUUUAGACACCGUCAUAGUUUUUUUCACUGCUAAUCUCGGUAGUCACCGUCAAGAAUGGCUUCAGGAUGUCGCAUAUUUUCUCUAUGAGUGUCCAUUCCGUUUGAGACAGCUGUUCAACACCCGCGUCUAAGAUGGCCAGAGUGGAUGGCACUGCAAACGCACUAUCCUUGAAAACCUCGUACGUCGAAUUCCAACGGGUGGGAACAUCUUGUUUCAACUUAAGCAACGUCAUUCCCAUUUGUUGCUGCAUUGCUUGUAGCCUUGCUAAUCCAUGCGAGCUGUGCUUAAAAAAGCGAACUAUAGCUAUGCUAACUAGAACUAUGCUGGGUUUCCCGUCGGUGUCCUCGGGCAGGAGGUAUAGGGGACGUGGAGGAGCGGACUGUUCUGUAGUGGACAGUGCCGACAAAGAUAAAGAUGACAGUCCCGAAGGAACCGAAGGUCGGGCACCGGAUUCAUCCGGAGAAGGGUGUGAGGGUUCCACUGGGUCGUCAACAACCUCAUCGUUACAUUGUUGUUGCGAUGCCCCGAGGACCGGGUUCGAGCGCAGGAGAGAUGCGCCAGGGUGGUUGACUCGGACAUGCCGCCACAACUUUGCCGUUGCUCCACCACGGUAGGAAAGAGCAUUUCAACAAAAGCUGCACUUUGCAGUUUCACCUUCGGAACGGAAAAGAGGGUACAAAUUGCACUUCGCUUUCGUGACGGACCACGUCCUUGGUGUGCCUGUGCCAUGUUGCAAAAGUGAGGGAGCGCGGACAAUCCGUUUUGGUUAACGGAUUCCAGGCAGCAGUGAGAGGGAUGCUUGAUCCAGGAAGACGUGAAAUGUCUUACAACGAAGUCAACACAGCAUCAAAGUGACAUGGGGAUGAAAGACAACAGUCAAGUCACAGGUCGGACCUUUAACUCUUUGAACGCCGGCGAGAGCCAGGAGACGCUUCUUGAUCUCUCCACUCGCCACUCUGGCGCCGUGCACGCGGCCCGUGGGAGGACAGCGCAUACAGGCGUACAGUUCACAGGAUUCGUUUGCACUUUCCAAGUUCGAGAGUCGAGAUUGUCGGAUAGUCCGACUCAUCGCCGUUUCCGGGUACCACAGAGAACUGUCGUUCGAACCGUCGCCUGCUCGUCCAACCAGCGAUGCCUUUUCUUUUUACCGGGACAUCCCCACCGUCUGCAGCGGCGUGGUUUUGUUCUGGUCUGUGUUUGCUCGCCUGGUGAUGUGGUGAUGGUGUAAUGCUGCUCUUUGGGAUGAGUGAUCUCUGUACGUUUCAGUGAAGUGCAUUUCGUCGUCCGAUGUCUGGCUAGAAACAUCAGGUUAGCAUCGGAUCGUGUGCCUUGACUGUCGGUCGACAACACCUGCCUUGGUGUUUUGAGGUCACUUGCUGCGAUCGAUUGGAUACAUGUAAUCGACGGUGAUGCUGGGUUGCCGCGACAGUAUUCCACUGUUUUCGACGCACCUCGCAGAUGAUGCCCUCGACAGAGCGAGGUCGUACAAGCACACGAAUGCCAAAGCAUCGUGACGUCUGCAGAGAAUUGUCGUGGAUUUCGAGCCAUGUCGUUCGUGCACGUUUCGUACGGAAGAGAACAAACCUAUGUGUGCUUCCUGGGAAUAUCAGGUAUUGCAGUGAAACGAUUUGUCAGAAGGACAAGCAUUGCCGCCCCACACGUCAUCUCACGUUUCACAACGCAGGCUGCAUAAAUAGCGCAUGUACAACGUGUUUAAUCGGAAGUAUACUAAAUAAAACCAACAAUCAAGGCUGAAAGAGGUCCUGAGAUGAUCCACACGAGCAACAACCGCUUGCCUGUUUGGCCGCCGAUCACGGGAACCGCCAUGUUUUCAAUCCCUGUGGGUGUGAUGCUCUCCGCUUCAUGAUCAGUGUUCGUGUGGUUCGAGAGUGAGAGAACUGAUUAGCUGAAUGGCUGUGUCCGAGUUGGAUCACGUUGGACAGAGCGCAACGAGAUCGGAGAACUAGUGAAUGGGGCUGUAGCGGUGGCAUUCUUUGAGUUGUUUGUUGAGAAAUGUUUUUGGAUGCGGUAGGCUCCUGUGCUCGUGUGUAUGUGUCGUCUCUUCGUUGUUGUGCUCGCUGUGGCAUUGGUGUGCUGUGGCCGCUGUGGCUUUAUGAGUCGGCUCGCUGUUUACGACUCGCGCUCUGUCAUCGUUCAUGCGUUGAUGUGAUUUGGUAGCUGUGGGCUCCUUGUGCACGGGAUGGAAGGCUGUCUCAGGCGGUAGGUAUUCCUUCUUUUACCGUUUUAUGUGGUCGUAUCAUGUCAAGCAUUGAGGGACGCGGCAUAGCCUGUCCGACGACGAAAGCUUUCACUGACACAGCUGUCGCCGGUGAGCCUACAUUCCAGCAGAUAGCAGCCACGAUAUGCUCAUGUGAUUUGCCGAUAAGUGUAAUUUGCUGAUGUUUGCGCGUUGUUUUGCCGUGCUCCUUUUCUCGCAUGUUUGUCAUAGCGGAUAUUCCCUGUACGCGCAUGUUCAGACUUGUUUAGCGGUGACCAAUGAGAUGUUUGCGCGUUGUUUGACCGCGCUUGUGUUAAGCCUUUUCUCGCAUGUUUGCCGUGCACCGUACGCGCAUGUUUAGACUUGUUCAGCAGUGACCCAGCCUUUUCUCCGUGUUGACGCACGUUUAGCGGUUCCCGCCUUGCGUUAGCUGCGUAGUGUUGUGACGCUGUGGUUAGGCCGAAGCGGUCGCCUUUUCCCCGAUAUGAAGCGUUUUCUCCGUGUUGUUUAGCAGUAGCGGUUAGACCUUUUCUCUCGCAUGCCUAGACUUGUUGAGAAGUGUUGCCAUUUUUUACCUUCCGCUAGUAUCUUGUUGUUCUCUGUCUUUCUCGCACAGAGCUAUGAUGGUGACGCCAUCUGUUGUGAUGCCUUGAAACUCAGCGGCCACCUGUCGUUGAUCUCUGCAACUGCCGGGUGCAAACUACCAACAUGGCGGGCGCUGGUCACUCGGACGUUCCAGAGCGGUUUCUUCGCAAUGGCAUCGUUGAUUUUCGAAUAAAUUUUUUCUCUCCACUCUAUAUCUAUCUAUUUUUCCUGUUUUUGAUGGAUACUCGUAGUCCACAACGCUCAGCUAGUCUGGACACGAGCUAGAUGCACCCCAAUUAGUGUAAUGACACCCUGGAGGGUACUGCUUAAUGUACGGUCCCAAUUAGCUCUAAUUGCUAAUUAAAUCUUGUUCAGGCCAGUUGAGCGUUGUGAACUACGGGAGUCCAGUCAUUAUUACUUUCCUACAGUAAUAAGGCUCGUAAACAAUUCAAAACUAUUUAUUUUUCAACAUGAUCUGACGGUGAAGAACUUCGUCAUAGCAGUCUCCUUCGCAUUCGCAUCUGGGAGCAAUACAGCAUCUGGAAUCACUGGAAUUCCAUGUGUUCUGCCGAUGGCAAAGGUGAGAUUGUACGCCAGCAGACGAGAAGCCCAUCGGAAAAUCUGUACAGGCCGUCUAGCGGAACCGUGGUGCGAUAGUAGUGGCACCAAGGCUUGAUGAUCUGUCGUCAAGGUAAAAUGCCUUCCCCAGAGGUAUAUGUACCAUCUCUCGCAGCUCCAGACACAUGCUAGCGCUUCCCGUUCCCCAGCGGAGUACUUCUCCUCUGCUCGUGAGAGCGACCUAGAGACGAAGCCGACAGUCCUUAUUCCAUGAGGACUCGGCUGUUGCAAGACGGCGCCGAGGCCUUUCUCUGACGCAUCUGUGGUAACGAUGGCGUCUAGUUUAAGGUCGAACGGUUGCAAGGAACCGGCAGUUCCGAGCUGGUGCUUAAGUUGUUGAAAUGCAUUCUCUGCUUCGUCAUUCCAGUCGAAUGCAUGCCCUCGUCGAUGUAGCUUGCGAAGAGGCUCAACCACACGCGCAAACCGUGGUACGAAUCGAGAAUAGUACGCGGCUAGACCCAAAAAGGAUCGCACAGUCUUCGCAUCUUGCGGAACGGGGGGUUGAGAAUAAAGUCAAUCUUCGACUGCAGUGGCGCGUUUCCUUCGGCUAUAAUCCGAUGUCCAAGGAAAGUAAUCUCCUGCGCGUCGAAGCAGCACUUCCUAAUUCAACGUUAGUCCCUCAUCAGAAACUCUCUUUACUACUACUCGUAAGUUGUCGACAACGAUGUCGUGAAGAUACACAAGGACCCCUUUGCAUCCAGUGAGGAGGUUGGCCAUCAGCUUCUGGAAUACUAAUCGUGCAGAAGCCAACCCGAAACACACUCGAUUGAACCGGAAGAGUCCUUCGUGCGUAAUGAAGGUUGUGAGGCUUCAACUUUCAGGGCUCAACUGCACUUCAUGGUAAACUGAUGUAUUGAGAUCCAACUUUGAAAAGUAACGAGCUCCUGCAAGAUAAUUCAGCAACUCCUCGACGCAAGGAAGUUGAUCGGCAUCGACUACAAUAGCCUGAUUCGGGGCCCGCAGGUCUACGCAUAACCGAAUAGUUCCAUUUGGGUUUUGGACGACAACUAUAGGUGAAAUCCACAUCGAAGCAUCGACACGUUCAAUGACUCCCUCCGUUUCCAAAUUUCGAAGUUCUUCAGAAACUCGUUCUUCUUCUUGUCUCGUACAGUCAACGGCAGUCGCCCUAACUUUGCUGUAACCGGCGUCAUUUUGAGUUUCAGGUACACUUUGUGCCCUACGUUCUUUGCCAGACCAAGGUCUCCACUGAACAAGUGACCAAACUCGCUUCUCAGGUCAAUAGAAAGUAUGUCUGCAUCCUUCGAUGCAGUAGCACAGCGCAAAGACUUCCCAACGAUUGAAAUAUCCAACUUGCGGACUGCAUCCCGUCCUAGUAAGGUCGUCCCUUUUAGCACAAUGUAGAACUGGAUCGAAUCCAUCUUUGCUUGGAAUCGGACGUGGGUAAGGAAACAUACAAUGACUUGGAUCCUUUUGUUGCUGUAGUCCACAAGAGAAAUCGUCGGUUUUGUCAGUGCGAACUAGUCCUUGAAUCGCUCAUCGUAGAAUGCCUGCGCCAUCAAUGAUGUUGCCGAGCCGGUAUCAAGUAGCGCGUGCACCUGCUCCCUUUCAAUUAUGACUUCAGCGAAGAUCGGCUCUUUCCGUUGGUCAGUAAAGUGUACUUGCCGAACAGUAAGCACAUGUGCCUCAUUCUCAACAACGUGAACGCCUCUACUGCCGCUACGACUUACUUUCUUGAAAUGACCAGUCUUUCCACAUUUCUGGCACUUCUGAUUCCGGGGCCUCCAUGACUUGUCAUUUGCUAAGUGACCUGACGAAAACAGUAGGUGAGUUCUUCUUGUCCGCUGGCGAAGAACCGGCGUAUGAGCCAUGCUCACUUGCAGGCUUGUGUUCUGUCUUCCGAGAAAUUCGCUGCACCUCUAAGGGUUCCGGUGGUGGUAAUUCCGGCGGUUGUAGAAAUUCCUUCGCGGCUUUGGUGCUUGCUUCCAUAGCUGCCGCCAAGGUUACAGAACUGUCAAAAGUCAUUGUCUGGCCUUCACUCAGCAGGCGUUCUCGCAGCUGGGAGUUCUUGUGCCUCCCAGAAGCUGAUGCUUGACAGCUUCAUCUUCAAAUUCUCCGAAGUUGCAGAGAGCGGCUAAAUAGCGAAGUUCCCCACGAAAGCUUGCGUAUACUCUCCUUCUUGCUGCAUUCUCCCCAGGAAUCGAUGACGGAGUAGACACAUUCACUGAUGUGCCGAAUCGCGUAUCCAACAGACUCAGCGCCUGAUCGAGAAUCGUUGAUGUCUGAGAAACACAGGCGACCGUUUGAUUUUGCGAUGAAGAUGACUCUAGCCCAUGAAAUAUUCUCUGUCCCUCGGCACCCAAGCAGUGUAGGAGUACCGCCUUCUUUCUUGCCACAGAGUAUGAAUCUUCUGCCACAGCGUCCAAGAAUGUCAAGAACAGCUUCUUCCAUUGUUCCCAUGGAAUACUCGGAACACCAGAAAAUGGCAGAAAGGGUGCCGGAGGUAACAGUCCACCGAGGUUCAUACUGACGGUAAUCCUUCGGUGCUUGUAACUUUCGCACGGACGUUCUAGAAAUGUUCCAUCGUCGCCAUAAUGUUCUAUUCUUCGCCCUGUAAGCAGACAUGCCCGACCCUCGUCAUUCCAAAAACGUUCUCAACUUUAUUUUCCUCGGUUGCCAACCUCCGGCGUUUUGCUGCCGCUGUUAGAGGCCUGCGAAGAACGAAAUGAAACUGAGACACUCAGACGAAUGCAGAGGAGGAAGAGGAGGAGUGGCGUCGGCUGGAAAGGGGAAGAAGUUUUAGAAGAAGGGAAAAUAAGUUUUAGUCAGUGUAACCAUUAACACAAUACUUGACUAGAACUAGCAAACACAUGAAGUUGCUAUGUGGUGAGCAGAAUUCCCAGUAAUUUUGACCUUGUGAAACAAAAUUAUAGCUUUCUCAUGUUGUCUUAUCAUGCAGAAUGAAAGAAAGGGGGCCAACUAGCUUUUAAUUGUUCGGACUCAUUGUGAUGCUUGUUUAUCACCGAUCAUCCAAACUUCUGAUGGAUGGGGCAUAACGAUGUACAGGGGCUCUGCAACGUAUUGUGAAGGUACACUUUGUCCUUGAUGCAACUCUCUUCUGUGUCUCUGCUUCUAAGAUGUUUCAAUAUUUUGGUUGUAAAGUAGAUGACUUUUCGACAAUACCAAAUAGUCCAAAUACGCUGUAGAAUACUGAUGCAUAUUUCCUGAAAUAAGGCUGUGAAUGAAUUACCUUGUUUGACUCGUUUUAUUUACUGUUUUGUUUGUCAGGAUGCAAA
Long non-coding RNA from Ornithodoros turicata, 19125 nucleotides. RefSeq lists it as uncharacterized. The transcript is spliced from 3 exons. The record is from RefSeq and is a predicted model, not a curated record. NCBI's taxonomy places the organism in Eukaryota, Metazoa, Arthropoda, Arachnida, Ixodida, Argasidae.